This 484-nucleotide ribosomal RNA is filed under the name uncultured bacterium. RNAcentral describes it as "partial 16S ribosomal RNA". It matches the Rfam family "Bacterial small subunit ribosomal RNA", at positions 29 to 507 of the family's 1533-position model. The record is from RNAcentral.
AUUGAACGCUGGCGGCAGGCCUAACACAUGCAAGUCGAACGGAUGAAGCGGACUUGCUUCUGCGUUCGGAGGCGGGCGGGUGAUUAAUGCCUAGGGAUCUGCCUGGCAGUGGGGAAUAGCGUCCGGCAGCGGGCGCUAAUAUCGAAUACGUCCUGAGGGCGACAGUAGGGGAUCAUAGGGCAUCACGCUAUCAGAUGAUCAUAGGUCGGGUUAGCUAGUUGGUGGGGUAAGGGCAUACAAAGGGGAGGAUCCGUACCUGGUCUGAGAGGAUGGUCUGGCACACUGGAACUGAGACACGGUCCAGACUCCUACGGGAGGCAGCAGUGGGGAAUAUUGCGCAAUGGGGGAGAGCCGGAUACAGCCAAGCCGCGGGAGUGAUGAAGGUCUUCGGAUUGGAGAGCGAUGUAAUUUGUGGGGAAGUAAAGUAAGAUAAGCAGUGAAUGUGUUGACGGUACCUACAGAAGAAGCCCCGGCUAACUACGUG